Molecule: long non-coding RNA, 677 nt
Organism: Amphibalanus amphitrite
Lineage: Eukaryota; Metazoa; Arthropoda; Thecostraca; Balanomorpha; Balanidae
Exons: 3
Source: RefSeq, a predicted model, not a curated record
CUGUGGCGGCGAAUGCGCCACUGUGUUUUGCACUGUGUGGAUUCCGUGCGGUGUCGGUCCGAGGGGCUGAAUUUCGGUGAAUUUGAUAGCAAUUGAUUUGAAUUUUGCUCAGAUGGGUUGUGAAUUUAUAUUCAGCAAGUGUCACAAACAUGGAAAGGCAAGUUUACAAAGGGCAGGAGACUUAGAAAGGCUUCAAUUGACAUAGCCGAAGAGAGGCGAGAAGCCGAAGAUAGACCGACUCCAAACGAUGCCCAGUGCAAUCAUGCUUCUGGUGCGGAGUUGUCAGGAUGGAGUCCGAGGAAUCAAAGAAGGCAGAGGACCUGCGUAUGAAGGAACCAGCCCUGCGGAUGAAGUUCUGAGGUGCAUACAGAGGGAUCCCACUGAAAGACCAGGUGCAAUGCUGCAUUGAUAAGAUCCAGAUUCAAGAGCAUGGAUGCUACGAGAUCCUGUGAUUUGAAGUUACCAGUGUCACUGCUGCUACAAAUGACAUCAGCAACACUUCCUUUGGUGAAAGUUUAGAGGAGCAAACAGUUGAUGCUCUGUGUAGUCAAGCAGUGGAGUUUUGCCACAAUCAUGAAGCUGAUUAAAGGGACCCUCCCACCUUAACAUUAGAUUUGAGUUGAGAUAGCCAAAAUGGGGUCCCUGGCUCACAAUUUUCGGUUUCGGCACUCACAACA